ACUCCUACGGGAGGCAGCAGUGGGAAUCUUAGACAAUGGGCGCAAGCCUGAUCUAGCCAUGCCGCGUGUGUGACGAAGGCCUUAGGGUCGUAAAGCACUUUCGCCGGGGAAGAUAAUGACGGUACCCGGUAAAGAAACCCGCCGUACAUCCGUGCCAGCAGCCGCGGUAAUACGGAGGGGGUUAGCGUUAUCCGGAAUCAUUGGGUUUAAAGGGUCCGUAGGUGGACGAUUAAGUCAGAGGUGAAAUCUUGCAGCUCAACUGUAAAAUUGCCUUUGAUACUGGUUGUCUUGAGUUAUUAUGAAGUGGUUAGAAUAUGUAGUGUAGCGGUGAAAUGCAUAGAUAUUACAUAGAAUACCAAUUGCGAAGGCAGAUCACUAAUAAUAUACUGACACUGAUGGACGAAAGCGUGGGUAGCGAACAGGAUUAGAUACCCUGGUAGGCUCUGC
This 447-nucleotide ribosomal RNA is filed under the name uncultured bacterium. RNAcentral describes it as "bacterial SSU rRNA". It matches the Rfam family "Bacterial small subunit ribosomal RNA", at positions 335 to 800 of the family's 1533-position model. The record is from RNAcentral.